This 87-nucleotide small nucleolar RNA is filed under the name Triticum aestivum (bread wheat). RNAcentral's name for it is "snoRNA SNOR75". It matches the Rfam family "Plant small nucleolar RNA SNOR75". From Rfam's summary of the family: U15 is a member of the C/D class of snoRNA which contain the C (UGAUGA) and D (CUGA) box motifs. RNAcentral also lists the same sequence under 1 other name. Lineage: Eukaryota; Viridiplantae; Streptophyta; Magnoliopsida; Poales; Poaceae. The record is from Rfam by way of RNAcentral.
UCUCAAUGAUGAUGAACAGAGGUUAAGAGUCAGAUGUAAUCUAUUAUACUAAACCGUGUGGAAUAAUGAGGCAUUUGUCUCGGAGAA